UGGGGAAUUUUGGACAAUGGGGGAAACCCUGAUCCAGCCAUGCCGCGUGUGUGAAGAAGGCCUUCGGGUUGUAAAGCACUUUCGGACGGAACGAAAUCGCACGGGUGAAUAUCCCGUGUGGAUGACGGUACCGUAAGAAGAAGCACCGGCUAACUACGUGCCAGCAGCCGCGGUAAUACGUAGGGUGCGAGCGUUAAUCGGAAUUACUGGGCGUAAAGUGUGCGCAGGCGGCUUCGCAAGUCGAGUGUGAAAUCCCCGGGCUUAACUUGGGAACGGCGCUCGAAACUACGGAGCUAGAGUAUGGCAGAGGGAGGUGGAAUUCCACGUGUAGCGGUGAAAUGCGUAGAGAUGUGGAGGAACACCAAUGGCGAAGGCAGCCUCCUGGGCCAAUACUGACGCUCAUGCACGAAAGCGUGGGGAGCAAACAGGAUUAGAUACCCCCGUAUCCCUGAGCGGGCUGGCAAGGCGCAU
RNAcentral lists this ribosomal RNA (471 nucleotides) under uncultured bacterium. RNAcentral describes it as "bacterial SSU rRNA". It matches the Rfam family "Bacterial small subunit ribosomal RNA", at positions 355 to 825 of the family's 1533-position model. The record is from RNAcentral.